ACAUACCUGGUCAGGCUAGCACGCAGUGCCUGGCAAGCACGGGCGAAGUCCCCUCAAGGCUUACGCACGAGUUGGAUGCCCAUAAUAUGCUCC
RNAcentral lists this transfer RNA (93 nucleotides) under Deinococcus piscis. Its description in RNAcentral is "tRNA-Ala". Lineage: Bacteria; Thermotogati; Deinococcota; Deinococci; Deinococcales; Deinococcaceae. The record is from RNAcentral.